RNAcentral lists this ribosomal RNA (497 nucleotides) under uncultured bacterium. RNAcentral's name for it is "partial 16S ribosomal RNA". It matches the Rfam family "Bacterial small subunit ribosomal RNA", at positions 28 to 507 of the family's 1533-position model. The record is from RNAcentral.
GAUGAACGCUGGCGGCGUGCCUAAUACAUGCAAGUCGAGCGAACAGACGAGAAGCUUGCUUCUCUGAUGUUAGCGGCGGACGGGUGAGUAACACGUGGAUAACCUACCUAUAAGACUGGGAUAACUUCGGGAAACCGUAGCUAAUACCGGAUAAUAUUUUGAACCGCAUGGUUCAAAAGUGAAAGACGGUCUUGCUGUCACUUAUAGAUGGAUCCGCGCUGCAUUAGCUAGUUGGUAAGGUAACGGCUUACCAAGGCAACGAUGCGUAGCCGACCUGAGAGGGUGAUCGGCCACACUGGAACUGAGACACGGUCCAGACUCCUACGGGAGGCAGCAGUAGGGAAUCUUCCGCAAAGGGCGAAAGCCUGACGGAGCAACGCCGCGUGAGUGAUGAAGGUCUUCGGAUCGUAAAACUCUGUUAUUAGGGAAGAACAAAUGUGUAAGUAACUGUGCACAUCUUGACGGUACCUAAUCAGAAAGCCACGGCUAACUACGUG